This is a long non-coding RNA of Oryzias melastigma (Indian medaka), 538 nucleotides long. RefSeq lists it as uncharacterized. The record is from RefSeq and is a predicted model, not a curated record. The transcript has 4 exons. Lineage: Eukaryota; Metazoa; Chordata; Actinopteri; Beloniformes; Adrianichthyidae.
CACCUGUAUCUCUGUCUUUCUUCAAAUGUCAGGAGGACUCUCAUGUCUUCUUGGAGGAUCUCAGUAAUAAUGGCACUUUCGUGGACGGUCUUCUGGUUGGUAAAGAUAAGAAGCUUCCUCUGGUCAACAACGCUGUCCUGUCGUUGGCUGAGCAACGGAACAGAGUGUUUGUCUUCAUUGACCUCCAGUUGGACAAUCAGUCCAGUCUGCCCAAAGGCCUGCAGGAGAAGUAUCUGCUGACUCGACAAAUUGGCGUAGGUGUGUGUGGGGAGGUGCGGCUGGCCUUUGAGCGAUCUACCUGCAAUAAGUUUGCAGUGAAGGUCAUCAACAAGAAGAACUUCCAGUCAGAAGGGACUGCCACACGAAACGCUGAGACAGAGAUCAAGAUUCUGCAGAGGAUCGACCACGUGAGUGACAUGAGGCUCAUGCAGUGACUGAACGCCCUCUCUAAAGCAGGGGACCCCAAACUACGGCCCGCGUGCAAAUUUGGCCCGGCCCAAAAAACGCCAAUUGAGACCCACACAGAACGUGAAUUUUU